Molecule: ribosomal RNA, 403 nt
Filed under: uncultured prokaryote
Description: bacterial SSU rRNA
Rfam family: Bacterial small subunit ribosomal RNA
Source: RNAcentral
UGAGGAAUAUUCCGCAAUGGGGGAAACCCUGACGGAGCAAUGCCGCGUGCAGGAUGAAGGCCCUCGGGUCGUAAACUGCUUUUAUAUGAGAAGAAUAUGACGGUAACAUAUGAAUAAGGGACGGCUAACUACGUGCCAGCAGCCGCGGUCAUACGUAGGUCCCAAGCGUUAUCCGGAGUGACUGGGCGUAAAGAGUUGCGUAGGCGGCUCGUUAAGCGUGAAAUGAAAUUUAUCGGCUCAACCGGUAAACUAUUUCGCGAACUGACGGGCUCGAGAGUAUGAGAGGUUACUGGAAUUUCUAGUGUAGCAGUGAAAUGCGUAGAUAUUAGAAAGAACACCAACGGCGUAGGCAGGUAACUGGCAUACAUCUGACGCUGAGGCACGAAAGCGUGGGGAGCGAACC